GCCAGCCUGAACUGCAUAGCCAGACCUUGUCUCAAAAAAAAAAAAAAAAAAAGAAUACCCUUACAGAGUCUGACACUUGGCUUCUCCGGGCUUGAGCUCUUCACACGAGUGUACCGAUCUUUGAUUUUUGCAACUAAACCUAUGUGUUCACUUCUGUGUGUCCUUCCCAAUUCUAUCUUCGGGAAACAAGAACCCAAGAGUCCAAACUGCUGAAAACAACCCUGGGCAAUUUAGGGAGACCCUGUCUCAGAAUUUUAAAAACAUAUAUAUAAUAUACCUGUGUAUUUUUUUUUUGAAGUGCUGGGGAUGUAGCUCAGUGGUAGAAAGGUUGCCCAGCGUGUGCAAGGCCUUGGGUUCCAUCCUCAGCACUGAAAUAAAUAAAUAAAUAAAUGCAAAUUAAUGUAUAAGAGAGAAUAAAAAGCAUUAAAAAGUGGCCAGGACUGGAGAGAGAGACCGACGUUCCCUCUGGGGAACACGCGCUUCCUCCCACUCCUGAUUGCAGGUCGCCUCCUUGCGCACAAUGAAAUUCUUCCCGAGAGUACUUUAGCAUGCUGUGUCUCAGCUACAAGAUCAGGAUGAGUAACUCCGACCUCACGGGACUAUACCGUACUAUACAAACAUGGUUAAAGAUGGGGUCAAAAACUCGGAGACGCUUGGUCCUAACCGCCAGCUCAGUGGGAGCAUUCUGUGCGCGUGCGUGGCGGUGGCGCGAGGGGCCGUGGAGCCUCCAGAGGCCGCGCACGCGCAGAAAGGGGGCGCGCGCCAGGAGGAGGGACCGGUACUCCAGCCUUGUCCUCUCCCAGUCCAGGGCGUCUCUGCAUUUUACCACACCCAGCCUCUUCCAUGCAGCCCGCCGUAGCUCCGCCCCAAUGGCAGUCUCUUCUUUUCCCCUGAGGCCUCGAGCCUGGCCACGCCCCCUCGCCCGGAUCCCUGUGACGUCACCGAGACCUACGCGAGGCGCGCGGCCGAGAGUUGACGGACGGCCCCUGAUGUCUUUGGUGCUUGAUUCAGAAUAUGUCCAGAUACAUCACAGACAUUAA
RNAcentral lists this long non-coding RNA (1040 nucleotides) under Chinchilla lanigera (long-tailed chinchilla). Its description in RNAcentral is "lncRNA (ENSCLAG00000022309.1)". The record is from RNAcentral. Lineage: Eukaryota; Metazoa; Chordata; Mammalia; Rodentia; Chinchillidae.